This 425-nucleotide ribosomal RNA is filed under the name uncultured bacterium. RNAcentral's name for it is "partial 16S ribosomal RNA". It matches the Rfam family "Bacterial small subunit ribosomal RNA", at positions 354 to 796 of the family's 1533-position model. The record is from RNAcentral.
GUGGGGAAUCUUAGACAAUGGGGGAAACCCUGAUCUAGCCAUGCCGCGUGAGCGAUGAAGGCCUUAGGGUUGUAAAGCUCUUUCAGAUGGGAAGAUAAUGACGGUACCAUCAGAAGAAGCCCCGGCUAACUCCGUGCCAGCAGCCGCGGUAAUACGGAGGGGGCUAGCGUUGUUCGGAAUUACUGGGCGUAAAGCGCACGUAGGCGGACCAGAAAGUCAGAGGUGAAAUCCCAGGGCUCCACCUUGGAACUGCCUUUGAAUCGCCUGGUCUUUAGGUCGAGAGAGGUGAGUGGAAUGCCGAGUGUAGAGGUGAAAUUCGUAGAUAUUCGGAGGAACACCAGUGGCGAAGGCGGCUCACUGGCUCGAUACUGACGCUGAGGUGCGAAAGCGUGGGGAGCAAACAGGAUUAGAAACCCUAGUAGUCC